Long non-coding RNA from Poecile atricapillus (Black-capped chickadee), 871 nucleotides. RefSeq lists it as uncharacterized. The record is from RefSeq and is a predicted model, not a curated record. NCBI's taxonomy places the organism in Eukaryota, Metazoa, Chordata, Aves, Passeriformes, Paridae. The transcript is spliced from 3 exons.
GUCUUAACUUGUCCCCUAUCUGGCUGAGACAAAUCUGGAAGAUUUAUCUGGCUUGAAGAACCAGUCUCAUAUAACCAGUUUUAACUAGGGAAUAGUCAAAUAGGGAUACACUGUCUUCCCACAGGGACAGGGGGAGAGGAAUAGGGUUGAAGGAAAGGAGCUAAAGGACCUUUAUCGUCCCCUCUCUUCAUUAGUACAUACUUGUAUCAUGUAACCAAUAGUACAGUGAGUAGUAGCACAGGCCUGCAUUUAUGUUCUGGCUCCUCAAAUCUGCAGGUUGAAAGCACUGUGUAAGAGAUUAUUUAGUAGUGAUGCAGAGAAGAAGCAUGAAAAGUUAAAUUAAGCUGGGAAGGGGAAAACAUAACCUGAAUGUUGGCCCAAAGCUUCCUGCCGCUGUGACAUAAGAGACCCUAGGAGGAUUGCUUCUCGAGGAAUCAAUGGCACAGAGCAGAAGAGCUGCCAAGAGUGGCCACCAAACCGGGCCAAGGGUGGCCCAAGGACGGUCAGUCGCAUUUUGUCCGUCGCCUCCGAUGGACUUCAGGGAAGCCUCGGGAGCACUAUGAAUUCUUAGAGGAGCUGUGCAAAAACCGCGCUUAAGCCUUAACUCCACCUUAGAGUUCCCAUCCAGGGAAGGGAGCCAAAGAUAACUGCCUCUUCCAAAGAAAGAUCUUCUGGAGUCUACAUCACCCCCUGAUGUUUUGAAAUUUCCAGUGGACCACAUCAGUCAUGGUGGAGUGAGAAGCAGCAUUUACGCUCAACCUUUCCUCAAGAGGUACAGCACCCUGUGUUGAGGAUACCGUUUGUUUCAAAAAAUCCCACAUAUGUUAGAAUCCUUUAGGCUCCUAUUAUAACAUAUAGUGAUUAAAAAGAA